UUUGUACUCCCUCCAUCCCAAAAUUCUUGUCUUAAAUUUGUCUAAAUACGGAUGUAUCUAGUUACAUUUUUGUGUUAGAUACAUCCGUAUCUAAACAAAUGUAAGACAAGAAUUUUGGGACAGAGGUAAUACUAC
Non-coding RNA from Triticum aestivum (bread wheat), 135 nucleotides. The record is from Rfam. Lineage: Eukaryota; Viridiplantae; Streptophyta; Magnoliopsida; Poales; Poaceae.